This is a non-coding RNA of Pelodiscus sinensis (Chinese soft-shelled turtle), 580 nucleotides long. The record is from RefSeq and is a predicted model, not a curated record. NCBI's taxonomy places the organism in Eukaryota, Metazoa, Chordata, Testudines, Trionychidae.
GUCUCUCUCUCUCUCCAAGACACCAUUCUUCAUUUUCUGAAUCUACUAUCCGCCUGUUUGAGCCAGCACACCAUUCAACUAGUUGGAAUGUGCAGGAAAAGGCAAACCUGAAUUUCUCUUCUUCCAGGUUGCUCCAUAAUGUCUGCUCAAGAGAUCUAGCCCAGCUGCAAUCAUAGGCCUGCAAUACUAGUCCAGGAGGUCGGCUUAAGGUACGCAACUUCAGCUAUGCAAAAUGUCUUGGCAGCAUCCACACAGUGGGAGGCCAAUGGAAGCAAACAUUCCAGGUGGCUUCCCUUACUCCUCGCAAAAGGAAGAGUACCAGAUGCUGGUGAGGUCUGCCCUCAGCAUUAGAUUUAUGGGUCUAUACCAGACCCACUAAAUCGAACACUAGAAGCUUGACCUCUGGAGCGUCGCUAUUGCGGCUGCCCAACCCCCACGCCAUCCUCUGGACCCUCCUGAGGGACAAGGAGAGCAGCUGCAGCUCCCGGAUGUUUGCAUGCCCCGCUGCAUCUGGCGUCUGGACACCAGCAGCGACUGGCGGGACCACAUCAUCCUGGAGCACUGAGGAGACCAACAGUGG